RNAcentral lists this ribosomal RNA (254 nucleotides) under uncultured bacterium. Its description in RNAcentral is "partial 16S ribosomal RNA". It matches the Rfam family "Bacterial small subunit ribosomal RNA", at positions 524 to 776 of the family's 1533-position model. The record is from RNAcentral.
UACGUAGGGGGCAAGCGUUGUCCGGAUUUAUUGGGCGUAAAGAGCUCGUAGGCGGCUCGGUAAGUCGGAUGUGAAACCUCCAGGCUCAACCUGGAGACGCCAUCUGAUACUGCCGUGGCUUGAGUCCGGUAGAGGAGCAGGGAAUUCCUGGUGUAGCGGUGAAAUGCGCAGAUAUCGUAAGGAAGACCAGUGGCGAAGGCGGGUCUCUGGACAGUUCCUGACGCUGAGGCACGAAGGUCAGGGGAGCAAACGGG